AAAAAUAUAGUUCAAAAAGUAAAAUGAUAUAUGGGCUUUUUAAUGCUCAUAAUCGAUUAUUAGUUAGGUUUAAUUGAUUAUGUAGGCUAAAUAUAUAAGGUUUUCAAUUCAUCAUCACUAUUCGAUUAUAAGCCCUCUUAAACGAUUAAGAUGCGUUACAAAAGUGAUAAUCGAUUAACCGUAGUAUGUUAACCAAUUAUCUAGUAUAAAUAACACUCCCAAAGGUUUAUUCAAGUUAAUAACCAACUAUUU
RNAcentral lists this long non-coding RNA (252 nucleotides) under Lathyrus oleraceus (garden pea). Its description in RNAcentral is "Pisum sativum (pea) long non-coding RNA (PSAT_LNC016432)". Lineage: Eukaryota; Viridiplantae; Streptophyta; Magnoliopsida; Fabales; Fabaceae. The record is from RNAcentral.